UGCUGGAGGUAUCAGAAGUGCGAAUGCUGACAUAAGUAACGAUAAAGCGGGUGAAAAGCCCGCUCGCCGGAAGACCAAGGGUUCCUGUCCAACGUUAAUCGGGGCAGGGUGAGUCGACCCCUAAGGCGAGGCCGAAAGGCGUAGUCGAUGGGAAACGGGUUAAUAUUCCCGUACUUGGUGUUACUGCGAAGGGGGGACGGAGAAGGCUAUGUUGGCCGGGCGACGGUUGUCCCGGUUUAAGCGUGUAGGUGUGUGUUCCAGGUAAAUCCGGUUCACUUUAACACUGAGGCGUGACGACGAGGCACUACGGUGCUGAAGCAACAAAUGCCCUGCUUCCAGGAAAAGCCUCUAAGCAUCAGGUAACAUCAAAUCGUACCCCAAACCGACACAGGUGGUCAGGUAGAGAAUACCAAGGCGCUUGAGAGAACUCGGGUGAAGGAACUAGGCAAAAUGGUGCCGUAACUUCGGGAGAAGGCACGCUGACACGUAGGUGAAGUGAUUUACUCAUGGAGCUGAAGUCAGUCGAAGAUACCAGCUGGCUGCAACUGUUUAUUAAAAACACAGCACUGUGCAAACACGAAAGUGGACGUAUACGGUGUGACGCCUGCCCGGUGCCGGAAGGUUAAUUGAUGGGGUCAGCGCAAGCGAAGCUCCUGAUCGAAGCCCCGGUAAACGGCGGCCGUAACUAUAACGGUCCUAAGGUAGCGAAAUUCCUUGUCGGGUAAGUUCCGACCUGCACGAAUGGCGUAAUGAUGGCCAGGCUGUCUCCACCCGAGACUCAGUGAAAUUGAACUCGCUGUGAAGAUGCAGUGUACCCGCGGCAAGACGGAAAGACCCCGUGAACCUUUACUAUAGCUUGACACUGAACAUUGAGCCUUGAUGUGUAGGAUAGGUGGGAGGCUUUGAAGUGUGGACGCCAGUCUGCAUGGAGCCGACCUUGAAAUACCACCCUUUAAUGUUUGAUGUUCUAACGUGGACCCGUAAUCCGGGUUGCGGACAGUGUCUGGUGGGUAGUUUGACUGGGGCGGUCUCCUCCUAAAGAGUAACGGAGGAGCACGAAGGUUGGCUAAUCCUGGUCGGACAUCAGGAGGUUAGUGCAAUGGCAUAAGCCAGCUUGACUGCGAGCGUGACGGCGCGAGCAGGUGCGAAAGCAGGUCAUAGUGAUCCGGUGGUUCUGAAUGGAAGGGCCAUCGCUCAACGGAUAAAAGGUACUCCGGGGAUAACAGGCUGAUACCGCCCAAGAGUUCAUAUCGACGGCGGUGUUUGGCACCUCGAUGUCGGCUCAUCACAUCCUGGGGCUGAAGUAGGUCCCAAGGGUAUGGCUGUUCGCCAUUUAAAGUGGUACGCGAGCUGGGUUUAGAACGUCGUGAGACAGUUCGGUCCCUAUCUGCCGUGGGCGCUGGAGAACUGAGGGGGGCUGCUCCUAGUACGAGAGGACCGGAGUGGACGCAUCACUGGUGUUCGGGUUGUCAUGCCAAUGGCACUGCCCGGUAGCUAAAUGCGGAAGAGAUAAGUGCUGAAAGCAUCUAAGCACGAAACUUGCCCCGAGAUGAGUUCUCCCUGAGACUUAGAGUCUCCUGAAGGAACGUUGAAGACGACGACGUUGAUAGGCCGGGUGUGUAAGCGCAGCGAUGCGUUGAGCUAACCGGUACUAA
RNAcentral lists this ribosomal RNA (1655 nucleotides) under Salmonella enterica subsp. enterica serovar Typhimurium var. 5-. RNAcentral's name for it is "bacterial LSU rRNA". It matches the Rfam family "Bacterial large subunit ribosomal RNA", at positions 1271 to 2904 of the family's 2925-position model. The record is from RNAcentral. Lineage: Bacteria; Pseudomonadati; Pseudomonadota; Gammaproteobacteria; Enterobacterales; Enterobacteriaceae.